Phalaenopsis equestris is the source of this 622-nucleotide long non-coding RNA. RefSeq lists it as uncharacterized. The record is from RefSeq and is a predicted model, not a curated record. NCBI's taxonomy places the organism in Eukaryota, Viridiplantae, Streptophyta, Magnoliopsida, Asparagales, Orchidaceae. The transcript is spliced from 3 exons.
AUUUUUUUCCCCCGCGAGCGUUUCCUCCUCCCCAAGCUCUCGGUCGAGCCUCAAAGAGCAGCUCGAGCCCCUCAUUCUCCUCCUCCUUCCUCUUCGAAAAGUUCGAUAGCCCGCCUCCUCCUUCCUCUGUGAGUUGCACGACAGGGAGAACCCGCCGUCUCCUUCCUCUCCCAGCUCUCGAUUGAGCUUCCUACAGGCCUCACGAGCUCUCCUUCCUCUUAUGCGGUUUGGUUAGGGCACGAAUGCCUCUCCCUCCCUCUUCUUCGCUCGGUUAGGGCUGCUCGAGCCUUCAUCGUGCAGAAAAAUGCCGCAGGAGCUCCCUCCUCCUAUCUCUUUGGUUCAAUUACAGUUUCUCUCGUGCCUGCUGAGUGUGGGUUCGAAAUGGGAGGAGACGAGGGGAGCCGCAAUUUGACUCUCCCAUGAGCGGCGGCUUCUUCGCUCGAACGGCACCUACACAGCAAGGUCGAAGGUUAUGGGAGAUAUAUUCCCCGCUCCCAUCAAAACAAAGGUAUUUGUUGAUGAAAACAGGACCGCCCAACACCUAGUAAAAUCAAGAACUGAACCGCCGAAUAUCUGAAAAAACUAAGAACUGGAUUGCCGAACACACUGCUGGUUGAAGGAC